Helianthus annuus (common sunflower) is the source of this 294-nucleotide long non-coding RNA. RefSeq lists it as uncharacterized. The transcript is spliced from 3 exons. Lineage: Eukaryota; Viridiplantae; Streptophyta; Magnoliopsida; Asterales; Asteraceae. The record is from RefSeq and is a predicted model, not a curated record.
CUUCUGCAAAUCCAAAAAUCUUCUUCAGAAAAUCGACAAUGGUGAUUCUCAUGUACCUUUUCACCACUGAUCCCAUUCAAUGUCACAACUAAAACCCUAAUGUUCUAUAUUUUCAAAUAAGUUCUCUUUUUAGAUUUCGAUCCAUGGAUUCAAGCAGCAAACAUCAAACAUCCAUUUUACAUCUUCAAGAUCUAGGGUUUCAUGUUCAAGUUGCUAUAUCUGAUACCUGUAUGGUCUGAGUUAAUAACGAUGGUUCAAGGAAGGAUGAAGGUGUUAAUGUUUUCAAUUCUUCAC